Molecule: ribosomal RNA, 674 nt
Filed under: uncultured organism
Description: bacterial SSU rRNA
Rfam family: Bacterial small subunit ribosomal RNA
Source: RNAcentral
GGAUUAGAAGCCCAAUGAGUAAAGAGAUGGCAUCGGCAAAGGAUGGGGCUGCGGCCCAUCAGCUAGUUGGUGAGGGUAAGGCUCACCAAUGCGACGACGGGUAUGGGGCCUGAGAGGGUGACCCCCCACACUGGCACUGAGACACGGGCCAGACUCCUACGGGAGGCAGCAGUAGGGAAUAUUGCCCAAUGGGCGCCAGCCUGAGGCAGCAACGCCGCGCGGAGGAUGACGGUCUUCGGAUUGUAAACUCCUUUUCGGUGGGAAGAGGACGGACGGUACCACCGGAAGAAGUCUCGGCUAACUACGUGCCAGCAGCCGCGGUAAAACGUAGGAGGCGAGCGUUAUCCGGAUUUACUGGGCGUAAAGCGCGCGCAGGUGGUGGCUGAAGUGGUGCGUGAAAGCUCCCGGCUCAACUGGGAGAGGCCGUACCAAACUCGGUCACUGGAGACAGAUAGAGGCUGACGGAAUUCCGGGUGGAGUGGUGAAAUGCGUAGAGAUCCGGAGGAACACCAGUGGCGAAGGCGGUCAGCUGGGUCUGAUCUGACACUGAGGUGCGAAGGCGUGGGGAGCGAACGGGAUUAGAAACCCCGGUAGUCCACGCCGUAAACGAUGCAGACUAGAUGUUGGGUAAUCGAAAGGUAUCCAGUGGCGCAGCCAACGCGAUAAGUCUGCCG